RNAcentral lists this unclassified non-coding RNA (377 nucleotides) under uncultured Parachlamydiaceae bacterium. RNAcentral's name for it is "contains 16S-23S intergenic spacer region". Lineage: Bacteria; Pseudomonadati; Chlamydiota; Chlamydiia; Parachlamydiales; Parachlamydiaceae. The record is from RNAcentral.
UCCUGGUUAACCCAGGCAGUCUCAUUAGAGUUCCCACCCUAAGUGUUGGCAACUAAUGAUAAGGGUUGCGCUCGUUGCUGGACUUAACCAAACACCUCACGGCACGAGCUGACGACAGCCAUGCAGCACCUGUGCAGCAGCCCCGAAGGGAGAUCCUAUUUCUAGGACUGUCUACUGCAUGUCAAGCCUGGGUAAGGUUCUUCGCGUUGCAUCGAAUUAAACCACAUGCUCCACUGCUUGUGCGGGUCCCCGUCAAUUCUUUUGAGUUUCAGCCUUGCGACUGUACUCCCCAGGCGGUAUACUUAUCGCGUUAGCUACGGCACAUCUGGGGUUGAAUCCAGAUACACCAAGUAUACAUCGUUUACGGCAAGGACUAC